AGGAAUGACUCUCUCUCUCUCUCUCUCUCUCUUAAAAAAAAAGAAAAAAAAGGAAAAAGAAACUGUAACUCCAGCAUUCCAACCGUUAGCUUCAGCAAACCCUAAACCUUUGACCUCUUUGAUGGCCGAAUCGUCCACUCAAUCAAAUUCAAAACGCCAGACACUCUCUCCCGGAAAAGAUGCAGUGGUCGACAGGAUCAGUAGUCUACCGGAAUCUCUUCUCUGCCACAUUCUCUCCUUCCUUCCAACCAAAGAGUUAAUCGCCACAAGCAUUUUGUCAACCAGGUGGAAGCUCCUUUGGACUCUCGUCCCAAAGCUAGACCUCGACAGUGACAAGAUCAACACUUUGGAGCUUUCGCUUCAUGAUGAUGAUGUUGAAGAUGCACGUGAGAUCAUGUUUGCACAUGUUGUGUCAAGUGUUUUGGCUCAACAAGAAUGUGGAGAGCUCCAAACUUUUCGCCUCAGAUGGGAAAUUUGGUCGGACGGUUCCCAUCUCGACGCAUGGCUUGGCACUGCUGCUGCUCGUAAAGUCAAAGAACUUGAUCUCGAAAUUUUAAUGUACGACAGUGAUGUGGGAAAUCUGAAAUUGCCUCCAAGCUUUUUCUCUUGUAGGACAUUAGUGGUUCUGAAAUUAAGCGGUGAUAUUGAUAUUGAUAUUGAUAUUGACACUCCUUCAUUAUCCUUUAAUUUCCCGAGCCUAAAGAUACUGCAUCUAGUAGAAAUUUCAUUGCCAAUGCCGAGUAUCAUGUAUUCACAGGAACACUCUUUCUUGAGGCUCCUUUCUGGCUGCCCUGUCCUCGAAGAUUUGUCAUUUACAACAACUGACUUUUCCGAGGGUGAGUAUAAAUUAUGUGUACCCACGCUGAAACGCUUAAGUUUCGGAGAAACUGAUUUUAAUUACUCUGAUUAUGAACUCGAAAUAAACGCCCCAGCUCUCGAGUACUUUGAAUUCUAUGGUGAUCUACGCGCCAUCAAAUUCUAUGAAAAACUAGACAACGUAGUUCAGUCGGAUGUCUAUAUUUCUAGGUAUGUACCUGAAGGAUUCCGUAGGAAAUGGGUGUUCAAUCUUUUUGCUGCACUGAAUAACGUCAAAUUCCUCUCAUUUUCUCCAAGGGGCACAGAGUGGCACAACUUGGGAAAUAUUUAUCCUUCCUCAUUCCAGAAUUUGGUCGAACUAAAAUUUAAAGUGAAUGGUUGUAGCUGGAAUGUGCUACAAGACUUGCUCCAAAAAGCUCCUAAUCUAGAAACUCUUGUUAUUACUAACGGUUAUGAUUCCGUUGAAAGCAACUUAUAUUGGAAGGAGCCACAAUAUGAUCCUGCUAAUCUGUCAUCACUCACAAGUUUUUAUUACAGAGGAUUUAAAGGUUUGAAGGAUGAAGUGGAACUUGUGAAAUAUGUUCUAAAGGAGGCAAGAGUUUUGAAGACAGCAACAUUUCAAGUUUCUAGUGGAGAGUCGAAGGAAAGUGUUCUUGAGAAACUAUCAAUGUUCCCAAGGUGCUCAACAACAUGUCUACUUAGAGUUGAAUGAGCUGCUCUACUCAUCUGCAUUGGUGCUUCUUGUUAAGCCCUUCUCCAUCUUAACUUUUUACUCAUGAGGUUUCAACAUUGGACUGGCGUAGCAUGGGCAACUUACAAUUAACUUGUCUGAGGUACAGUUUCAUUGCAAUAUUAUGACCAGAUGGCAUGUGAAAAAACUAUUCAUCUAAUCUGCUCUUAAGAUGGUUUCUGAGAUGGAUACCUUUUGACUUUAGCUUUUCCAAUCCUUUCCUUUUGCAUUUUCUUCCUCAUCUGUAUAGCUUUGGCUUCUUCUACCACCUUCUUUUCGUCAAGUCUUACCUUAUUUUUACUCUGCAUGACAUUGUUCACCUACUUUUUAUAGUUUUUAGUCUUGUUAAGCUGAUGGUGGCAUUAGUUGUGAGGAAGGAAAAGAAGAAAAAAGGUGGUUUUCUGAAGGUUUUGCUUAUGCUUCAGUUGACAUACUGAAUAGAGAGAACAAAAUAUCUUGUAAUGUCCCACCCCUAUUCUGCACUUGAGUUAAUUUAGGAUUUUUAAUGUUAAAUUUCUAGUUAUUUUCUAAACUGAUAGUUCUGGAAGAAGAACUAUAAUGCUAAUGGCUUCCUGCUGCCACACAAUUUACAUAAAGUUGCACUGGCCUUGAUGUGGUCUGGAAUUGCACCUUUAAGGUAAUGUAAUAGCUAGAUUUGGAAAGUUAGAAAAAGAAAUGCUGAGAUAGAUUUUGUUUUGUGAUGAUGGGUGUGACCUUUAUAAAAGCCUAAGUCAGAGUUUUGCU
This is an RNA transcript of Quercus robur (English oak), 2290 nucleotides long. It is a transcript of the gene named putative FBD-associated F-box protein At3g50710, with no coding region annotated. NCBI's taxonomy places the organism in Eukaryota, Viridiplantae, Streptophyta, Magnoliopsida, Fagales, Fagaceae. The transcript has 5 exons. The record is from RefSeq and is a predicted model, not a curated record.